This 68-nucleotide transfer RNA is filed under the name Pyrgacris descampsi. Its description in RNAcentral is "tRNA-Met". The record is from RNAcentral. Lineage: Eukaryota; Metazoa; Arthropoda; Insecta; Orthoptera; Pyrgacrididae.
AAAAAGGUAAGCUAAAUAAGCUAAUGGGUUCAUACCCCAUCUAUAGAAGUCUAAUCUUCUCCUUUUUA